AAGGAAACCAAAUGGGAACUCCCCUUUGGUUCUUUCUGAGGAAUUUAUUAGCUCCACUACAUCUAAAACAUAGGGGCUGUCAGAGUAUUAAUAAACUUUUUUUAAAAAAAGAAAGCAUUUACUCAUAAAAAGAAAUUCUCAGCAUUUUCUAAAAGAAAAAUAUUAAUAAACAGCUACUAUAAACACAGUUAAAAAUAGAAUACUUGCAAUAAAAAUGAAAGAAGACCAAUUACUUUUGGGGAGCUACAGUGCAGCAAACCUAGUUAUAAAACUCAAGUUCAGAGCCUCAUUAUUUCUAAGUGAGGGACUGGGGGAAACAGAUGAGACAAGAAACAUAAGAACCAUGCUACUGGAGUUCCCGUCGUGGCGUAGCAGAAACAAGAAACCAUGAGGUUGCGGGUUCGAACCCUGGCCUUGCGCAAUGGGUUAAGGAUCCAGCGUUACCAUCAGCUGUGGUGUAGAUCACAGACGCGGCUUGGAUCUGGCAUUGCUAUGGCUGUGGCAUAGGCUGGUGGCUACAGCUCCAAUUAGACCCCUAGGCUGGGAGCCUCCAUGUGUUGCAGGUGUGGCCCUAAAAAGACAAAAAAUAAAAAAUAAAGAACUAUACUACUUACUAAGUAUAAAAGUAAAAAAAAAAAAAAAAUGACAACUUUCUACUUUUGAAUCAAGACAAGACUUUUGCUUAUUAGUUUUUGUUUUGCAGUCAUGAAGAUUCUAUAAUGCAAAAAAGGCUGGAUUUUUUUUUUUCUCAAGUCUUUAGUAAAUCCAUUUUAUAAGGCUGGGAAAACUUAGCAUGUAACUGAUUUUUGUCAGUAUCAGAUAGCUAUGAAAAAGAAUCACACCAGAUACAUGUUCCUGAGUCACCAUUUUUAGUGUUUAAAAAACCAUUUUUUUCUAGUUCAAGAUGAUAGUUCUGAAUGCUAAUUCCAAAACCUUACAGUCUGUAUGUGAUAUGGAAUGACUGUGCAUUUAAAAAAACAAAUGGUAAAAGCAGAGGCAGAAUUACUGUGAAGCUAAGGAAGCACAAAUUAUAAGGCUCCUUUGCACAGUCCUUCUCCAGAGCACUGAGAGGGACUCUGGCAAUGAAUUCAGUGAUCAUACAUUUUCAUACAAUUGAUAGAAGUAAGACAUAUUAACUACAAUUAGUUAAGACCAGUGUCUUUUCAUGAUGAUUUCUCUAUCACCUUACCUCCUGGUUGGUGUGUCAGAGUAGCCACAUACAUCUUAGAACUCAGUUAAGAUGAGGUUGGGUUUGGGAUAUAUUUAGCCAGAGUUUAGUGGGAUAGGAUUACACGGUCUGCAGAGCUUUAUGUAUAAAUAUACUAUAACCAGCCAAGUAAGUUCAAGACGAGCUUCCAACAAUACUCUUAUCGCUCAGUGUACUGACUCAUCCAUAAUCAUGAACCCUAGAUGGAGGUCAAAUGUCACAUUAUGGCAUGAACAUGUCUUAUAAUGCCUGGUACUAAAGGUAUAUAACUAAGUCAAGAAGAAAUAUGAGAGGUUUUCUCAAAUUUGACAACAAUCUUAAAAAUUUAGAAGACACUAUUAACAAGUUUAAUAAUGAGUUGUAAACUGAAAAAAAAAGUUUUUCUUCUAUCAAUAAUAAAAAAGACUUUUGAUUAAUUUCAAAGGGUACUGUCCUCCCAUUGUAAACACUCAAAAACGAGACAAAGUACAUGAAACAUGAUUUUCAGAUAUUGCACAAAAAAUAGUGCCGAAUUGUGAUGUCUGAAAGAAGGGUCAUGCAUUAGUAGUGAGGCUAAAUUAGUUCCAAAAUAAAGCCCCACCAUAAUAAAGCUUAAAGGCAAGAUUUGAAAGGAUAAAAUGGAUGUGCUUAACUGCACACCAGAACAAAUCCAUCACUCUUUAAAGAGAGGCAACCAAAUCUAGUAACCAACAAUAAAAUCCAGUACCCAAUUAUAAAAUUCACAAGGCUUAGCAUCCAGUCAAAAUUACUAGGCAUGUAAAGGAGUGAGAGAUUAUAACCCAUAAUCAGUAAAAAGAAUUAGAAACAUACCUAGAAACACAGCACAGACUGGAGGGAAAUAUUUACAUAAGACGUAUCAGAUGGAGAAAUGUUACCCAAAAUAUACAAAGAACUCCUUAAAAACUCAAGAAUAAGAAAAAAAUCUAAUUUGAAAAUUGGCCAAAGACCUUAAUAGACACUUGCCAACAAUAUAUAUAGACCUAAACAAUAUUAUUUACCAACUUGACCUGACAUAGAAACAUUAGAAUGACACUAUCAAAUGUGUAUUUUUAAAAAAGAAAUGAAUACAGAAAGAAACUAGAGAUGGAAAAAGACUGGAGAAGAGAGAUGAGCUGGGCACUUGCUACAAUGGUCCAAGCAAGAAGAUGAUACAGAUGGCAGGACUGAAGAAGCGUCAGAUUUAAGAGACAUUUUUGAAGCAGCAGUUAGUAAGAGUGCUAUCAGUAUCAGAGGUAAAGGAAGCCAAGGAUGAAUCCCAGGUUUCUGGAUUGGCCAGGGGGAAAUAAAGCGGAGCCAUUAACACAGAAAUAAGUAUAAAAGGGAGGCAUAUAUUGUGAAAAAAGAGCAGAGAUUUGAACAUGUGGAGAUAGGUAUUUUUGUACAUCCAUACAGCAUUAUAUAAUAGCCAAAUAUAGACCUUUAAAUACUAUCAUCCUUCCUAAAAUAUGCUUUGAUCGUCACUCCAUGUCUUCAAACUUUCCCACAGCUUCUCACUACGUGCAGGACGAAGUCUAAAUGUUUCUCUUGUUACU
This 2739-nucleotide long non-coding RNA is filed under the name Sus scrofa (pig). RNAcentral describes it as "lncRNA (ENSSSCG00000052794.1)". The record is from RNAcentral. Lineage: Eukaryota; Metazoa; Chordata; Mammalia; Artiodactyla; Suidae.